CUCUGCCCUGACAUGAAAAGAAGAUGCUGCUUCUUGCAGGCUUUAGCCUUUUGUUUCUCUACAAGGGCAUGCUGUGUAACCAAGUGACCCAGAGUUCUCGGGAACUGGCAGUGGCCAGUGGCAGUGGAGUGGUCCUGCCCUGCACUUACAGCACUAGUUACUCAAAUCCGGGUUUAUACUGGUACCGAGAAAAGCCAGAUGGAACUUUUCAGUUUAUUCUUUACAGGGAUAACAGUCGAUCCCUUAAUGCAGAGUUUACUAAAGGUCGAUUUUCUGUGAAGCGCAAUCAGAACCAGAAAACCUUCCACCUGGUGAUCAACCCCGUGAGGAUGGAAGACAGUGCCCUCUACUUCUGUGCCCUGAGCACGGUGAUGCAGGUGCCCGGGAAGCCUGCACAGAAACCCACAGGCACAGCUCAAUGGAGCUACCCUCAGGGCAGGCCAAGUAUUGGAUCUGGAAUCCUUCUCCUAGUUUCUAUGCUCCGGCUUGGCCUUUAGAGUGCCUGAAAGUGUUUGCUAAUUAAUAACAGUGCAGAUCACAUCGAGGGAGCACCCUGGUUUCCGGUAGAGCAAAGCAUCUUAUACCUCAGCAGACCCUCGACAUCUGAGUGGCUCAUAGUGGGUUAGGGGAGC
Tupaia belangeri chinensis (Chinese tree shrew) is the source of this 632-nucleotide non-coding RNA. NCBI's taxonomy places the organism in Eukaryota, Metazoa, Chordata, Mammalia, Scandentia, Tupaiidae. The record is from the annotation of a RefSeq genome assembly.